GCACUAACAAACUACAAUGCACACUCUGGUUUCAUUUUGAUGCCAGGACAUUAGUUAUGAGACUUAUGAGCCAGAGUACAAUAGAUCCUACGAUCCAACAGACCGCACAAAAGACUAAGAUACCAGCCAAAAUGGUGGCUAAUGGCGGGCUUGAUGCAUCCUUGCUCUUCUCUGGUCCUCCUGAAGGAUUGGUGCUUGAUUUUGAUAUAGGUAGUAG
RNAcentral lists this unclassified non-coding RNA (217 nucleotides) under Hevea brasiliensis (rubber tree). Lineage: Eukaryota; Viridiplantae; Streptophyta; Magnoliopsida; Malpighiales; Euphorbiaceae. The record is from RNAcentral.